RNAcentral lists this transfer RNA (90 nucleotides) under Colletotrichum sublineola. RNAcentral describes it as "tRNA-Tyr". RNAcentral also lists the same sequence under 1 other name. Lineage: Eukaryota; Fungi; Ascomycota; Sordariomycetes; Glomerellales; Glomerellaceae. The record is from RNAcentral.
CUCCGAAUGGUGUAGUUGGUUCAUCACGUUCGACUGUAAUGGGUUUCCAAGAUGAUCGAAAGGUCCCUAGUUCAAUUCUGGGUUCGGAGA